AGAAGUUUAUAGCAAUAAAUAUUUAUUUCCUGCUCACAUUACAGGUCUACCUUGUGGAUCAACUGUUACUGUGCUCAACAUCUUCUACUGUUUACUGGGACCAAAACUGAAGGAAUGGCCGGGUGCGGUGGCUCAAGCCUGUAAUCCCAGCACUUUGGGAGGCCGAGGCGGGUGGAUCAUGAGAGAUCGAGACCAUCCUGGUCAACAUGGUGAAACCCCGUCUCCACUAAAAAUACAAAAAAUUAGCUGGGCACGGUGGCACGUGCCUGUAAUCCCAGCCACUCAGGAGGCUGAGGCAGGAGAAUUGCCUGAACCCAGGAGGCAGAGGUUGCAGUGAGCCGAGAUCGCACCAUUGCACUCCAGCCUGGGUUUUAGGACAUGAGUGUGGAGCAGGUCAAAGGCUGCAAAACACAGAGAGCUAAAGAGAAAAUGGAAAAUAAUGAAGAACCACCAAAAUAGUGAACCAAAGAAGAGAAGAGUCACUGAGAGUAUUUCCAAAACUGAGUUGCUGGUGGAGGAUUAUCUCCGAAAGUUAAGGACAUGGAUGAAGCUGGAAACCAUCAUUCUCAGCAAACUAACACAGGAACAGAAAACCAAAGACAGCAUAUUCUCACUCAUAAUUGGGAGUUGAACAAUGAGAACACAUGGACAGAGGGAAGGAAAUAUCACACACCAGGUCCUAUCAGGGGGUGGGGGGGCUAAAGGAGGGAUAGCAUUAGGCAAAAUACCUAAUAUAGGUGACAGGUUGAUGGGUGCAGUAAACCACUAUGUGACGUGUAUACAUAUGUAACCAACUUGCAUAUUCUACAAAUGUAUCCCAGAACUUAAAGUAUAAUAAUGUUUCUAAAAGUGAUAUGAAAAAGUAUAAAUGCUAUAAUAAAAAAAAAGAAAACAAUGCACUUGGCUUGACCAUUUUUCCCACAAUAUAAAAAAGCAUAAGGAAAUAGAUUAUUUUAGAC
RNAcentral lists this long non-coding RNA (959 nucleotides) under Callithrix jacchus (white-tufted-ear marmoset). RNAcentral describes it as "lncRNA (ENSCJAG00000080640.1)". The record is from RNAcentral. Lineage: Eukaryota; Metazoa; Chordata; Mammalia; Primates; Cebidae.